Molecule: long non-coding RNA, 2082 nt
Organism: Lolium perenne
Lineage: Eukaryota; Viridiplantae; Streptophyta; Magnoliopsida; Poales; Poaceae
Source: RefSeq, a predicted model, not a curated record
CUGACUUUCUCAAUGCCUAUCAUGUGCUUGGGGAAUGCAUCAUAAGAAGCGACCAAUUUUUUUGUAGCUCUACUUAUGUGUUCUGGUGUGAAAGUUUGGAUGUCGGCAUGGCUAUGAGGAUAUGUGGUUUGAACCUGGAUUUUGGUAGUGUUGAUUAUCUACAAGAUUUUUUGGAUGUCGUGCAUUUGCCUUAGUUGCUUUUGUUAUACAUUAUAAUUGGAAUAGUGAAGAUAUGCUCUAACUGGUACGCAAAAGAGGUGUAAUGAAUUGAGACAAGACAGAUUCGGGUUUUAGCAAACAAAUUCUGUUAUGUUGUUUUUAGUUUAGUAGUUCUCCAUAAUCUUAAAUGCCUACAGCUAUAUAUAAAAAAAGGAAUGCAGCCAAGAUUUAAUUGUUAUGAAUUUCUAGAUUUAUGUAUAGAGAUGACUUUUCUUUAGAUAAAGAUAGAUGGUGCUUCAUUUAUGACUCAGUAGUAGUUUCAACCUCACAAUUGUUGUUCUAUUAGUAUACAAACUGAUUCAGUUAUUACUGAUAACAAGCACUCAAGCACAUGUUUCUUAAUUUUGUCAAAGAUUUGUAUUUGAUAUUUAUCAUGUUCUUAAAGAGAAGGCAAUGAAAAUAGCCUGAGCGUAGCUAAGAUGGGGUUUAAAUAAUUCAUUAUUCAUUUGUUACAGUAGGAGGUGAUUUGCACCCAGCUGCUCAAGUAACACGUUUUAUUUCAAGAAACCAGCUCUGUUGAAGGCCAAGUACUUUCAAGUUGCAGAGGCUGACGGAAUGUGUUUUUAAUCAAAAGAAGAUUGCAAAAUAGACAACCUAAGUUGUUACAAGUUCAUGUGCUACGCCAAUCCAUUGGAGAAUAUCUGGCCAACAGAGUGUAUCAUGUGUUGCAAAUUCUUGGAUCAUAGUUACUGCCAAAGAGGCCUAAGACAUCAAUUCUCUUAGUUGUGUAGGCUGAUCGUCAUUGUUGAUCCCAUGAAAGAAGAGUUUUUGUCCCUGGCAUUUUACAGAGCUAGCAAGGAAAUGCUUUGAUCAUAGGUGUUGCUCCUGCACCUAACUAUUUGGGCGAUGGUAUGUGGCUUAAGGCAAUUCAGACGGGUAUUGCCUUUUUUGCGGGGGAGAUGGGUAUUGCCUCAGGUAUGUAGUUUCCAUUUUGUUUGUUAGUAUUAGGAGUGUUAUACCUUUUAUAAUAGGAAACAACCUAGGAAUUGUAUAGUGAAUCUAGAUUGGAGGUUGGAUCUGAAAUAGUAUUCCCUAGAGGCCCAUAAAUGGAACUGGGCGUUGAAUUUAUGAACUAGAUGUUAUUUUCAUCAUUGUUGUUCUUUGGCAAUGUUUUGUUGUGGUUGUAUAGAGGAUACCAAAGACACUAGCAUUGGUAUUUGUAGGAAACAUUGUGUGUGUUGCAGCAAAGAGCGGAUAUAUAACACUAGAAGCUUUUGGGCCUGGCAUUUGCUUCUACCCAAAGACUGGUUAUGAUGGAGCACUACUAUAUUUGCUCGCUUCAUGUGUGCUCACUGGUUGCCUCCUGAUCUUGUGUCACCUUCUUCAUGCUUCUUUGUUUCUCUCUCGGUUUUGUUAACUCUCUUCCUUAUAUUACCGCCUUUGUUAGUUCAAUUUCCCUAGCGGUGGUAUUGGACAGGAGUUAACAAGUAGAAUGUAUUGAAAAGAAAGAGAUUUUGUUGGUGAUGCCCAUGAUUAAUGGUGAAAUCAUACCAAGGAAGAAAUUUGAGGAAGUGUGCGCAUCUUUCUUUGUUCCUUUGUUAUCUCUCAGUUUGCUGGUUAUUUCUCUUACUGCUAGCAUGUAUUAGAUGUCCAUCCGUUGUGCACAAUAUCAUGAUAUACAUUGGUGAAAUAAAAGGGUAAUGGGGAAAUUGGCUACAUGUUUUCUGUUUGAAUGAUAAGUUCUUACUUUCUUACAUUACAGAUGGCUGAAUGAAAGGUUCGGAAUAGGUAAGGUACAACCCAAAUGAUGUCGAGAAACAUAGAAGUUACUACUUGCAAAAUUUCCACCCAUUCUAUUGGAUAACGUGUGGGUAUCUACAGACCAAAUUGAAAUCUGCAGCAAACUGCCUCCAGCUUAAAAGU